This 97-nucleotide ribosomal RNA is filed under the name Caerostris darwini. The record is from RNAcentral. Lineage: Eukaryota; Metazoa; Arthropoda; Arachnida; Araneae; Araneidae.
CUGAAUAUACCGGUUCUCGUUAGAUCACCGAAGUCAAGCAUCAUUGGGCGCGGUCAGUACUUGGGUGGGUGACCACCUGGGAACGCCACGUGCCGUU